This 73-nucleotide transfer RNA is filed under the name Aeoliella mucimassa. RNAcentral describes it as "Planctomycetes bacterium Pan181 tRNA-Cys". It matches the Rfam family "tRNA". From Rfam's summary of the family: Transfer RNA (tRNA) molecules are approximately 80 nucleotides in length. Lineage: Bacteria; Pseudomonadati; Planctomycetota; Planctomycetia; Pirellulales; Lacipirellulaceae. The record is from RNAcentral.
GGCGUCGUAGCCAAGUGGCUAAGGCAUCGGAUUGCAAAUCCGACAUCCCCGGUUCGAAUCCGGGCGACGCCUC